Molecule: unclassified non-coding RNA, 252 nt
Organism: Dipodomys ordii (Ord's kangaroo rat)
Lineage: Eukaryota; Metazoa; Chordata; Mammalia; Rodentia; Heteromyidae
Gene: 7SK
Rfam family: 7SK RNA
About the family: 7SK was discovered as an abundant small nuclear RNA in the mid-70s but a possible function has only recently been suggested. Two independent studies have found that 7SK RNA binds the CDK9/cyclin T complex (known as elongation factor P-TEFb). P-TEFb activates transcription by phosphorylating the C-terminal domain of RNA polymerase II.
Source: Ensembl
UGACAAAAAACAUUCUAACUCCUGUACCACUGAUUGGCAGGGUUGAUUCCGCUGAUCUGUCUGGCUAGGUCAGCAUCCCUUUCCUGCUCCAUGUGAGUCCCUCCUGAAGCUGCAUGCUCACUCAAGGUGGAUGAUCUUCAAGGAAAGAAGACUUCAGGAUCUACAGUGAUCUGCCCUCCACUGCCAGAAACUCCCAAGAAAUGCUCAAGCUUGUAUAAGACACAGUGAGACGAUAUCAGACCAGAAAGCUAU